This is a non-coding RNA of Eubacterium sp. CAG:76, 125 nucleotides long. The record is from Rfam. NCBI's taxonomy places the organism in Bacteria, Bacillati, Bacillota, Clostridia, Eubacteriales, Eubacteriaceae.
ACAGCAAUGCCCAGACACGAGGUCUGGGCAAGCGACAACUGAGCCACGAUGGCGAAUUUGGAGCGGUGCGUCCGGCACCAUAACUCCACCGGGAAUGACUUAGUAAUAUCCAAUUAUCUUAUAGC